CAGAACACAGAAUAACGAUUCUCAGCGUCUUACUUGCUGGGGCAAUAAUGAUCAUGAUCUGCCUGUGCAUCUAUAUCAGGAAACUGAAAAAGAAGGCGGAGACAAAUUCUCGACCUCAACUAGAGGAGGUGGUGAUCAAAGUGCCAGGUCACACAAAUGAAGAACCGAAGACGACCAAAAAGAGGGUUACGUUUAGCAACCUGUCAGAGGUCCAUGUCUAUUAAAGUUCUCACAUUUAAAUCAAAA
Molecule: long non-coding RNA, 246 nt
Organism: Pseudophryne corroboree (corroboree frog)
Lineage: Eukaryota; Metazoa; Chordata; Amphibia; Anura; Myobatrachidae
Exons: 3
Source: RefSeq, a predicted model, not a curated record